Molecule: long non-coding RNA, 1419 nt
Organism: Lotus japonicus
Lineage: Eukaryota; Viridiplantae; Streptophyta; Magnoliopsida; Fabales; Fabaceae
Exons: 6
Source: RefSeq, a predicted model, not a curated record
ACUUUCAAUUUUUGUUGUUUCAUCAUUUUACAUUUUCAAUGUUUGAGCUCUCUUAAUUUGAUUAUUUUGCAUAUAUAUAAUCAAAACGUUGACUAUGUGUAUGAUGCCUUCUAACAGUUUUGUUUGUACCCAAAAAUGCUCCAAUGUUCAAUUUCUUAUGGCAUGUUUCAGUUUUCCUCAAUGCCACAGAAUAGCAGCAAGAUGGUGCCCCGACUACCACAAUUUCAGCUGCUUUAGCAGCUGCGUGACUGGUGCACUAACCUAGGAUGCUACACAGCAAUUAGGAGCAUUCAAUUUCUUAUGCUUUCUUUUCUUCUCUUUGUUACCCAAGAUUUACAUGUUUAGCCAGAUGAAGAAUUUGUAAAACCUUUUGUUCAUGUAUUGUUAUGUAGGAGGUUUGCUGCACAAAUCACCAUCUCAAAUGAAAUUGCGCUGAGGUUAUUUCAGAGGAAAAUCAACGCGCUAUUGUAGUUAACUGGUGGUACUAAUUUACAACACAUAAGAUGGAUGAGAGCUGAGAUUACAUUCAUCUGAAACGUCCUACACUGAUGUCAGAGGAAUGGGAGCUUCACGGUGGACUUGAGUUGCGGCGGUAGGGCUGUGACGUGUUGGUAUUAACGAAGCGAACAUGGUGGCCAUCAAGACGAAUAGCAGCAGCCCACCAGACCUAGGUAAGUUGGAUAUGACAAAAUUGUAUCCACCAUCUCCUGAAGUCACAUCUCAGCAAGCUACUAUUAAUAUCGGCCACCAUAGGCAUUUGGCACAUGGGAAAUCAACAGUUGUGAAAGCAAUAGAAAAAUAGUGAAGAAGAGUGUCUGCUUAAUGAGUUUGUGUUGUUAGCAAGGACCCCCAUGCUCCUCUAUUUGUCCGGUGAAGUGGUUUAUAUAGGAUAAUAGGACUAUAUUUCAACUUAUGCUCAUUAAUCAACGUUCAUAUAUUUUCUCCAUAUUUCGGCCACGGACUAAGGAGUAUAUUGUUUGACUAUUUCUUAUUGUAUCCAAGUGAUAGGGGAAAAUAAGGAAGGGAGAGAAUAAAUUAUUUGGCUUACUAAAAAGUGCAGAAGGAGUAUAAUGUUUGACUCUUACUUCCUCCUUUAUCUGGUGCACCAUUCAUGGCUGGCUCUCCAAAAUCAAUUUGUACAUCAGUGAAUGAGCGACAUGACAACAAACCGUGGAUUAGUGAAGAGAAAAAUGUUUUGGCCUUGAAGUGAGAUGAGUUUUUCAUAUUGAUAAGAAUUGGGAUGUGUGACGGUUUAAAUGUUAAAUUUUCUCCUUUUUAUGGUCUUGUAAAGCUGGGGAUGGGGAGUGAGGAGUUGUAUGGUGACAUUGUGUCUCUAUAUAUUUAUUUUUGUAGCAAACAAAUGAUAUGAAUGUACCUUAAAAUGCUAGCAUUUAUUUGAGUGAUUCAAUGUUUCCGUUA